RNAcentral lists this ribosomal RNA (250 nucleotides) under uncultured bacterium. RNAcentral describes it as "partial 16S ribosomal RNA". It matches the Rfam family "Bacterial small subunit ribosomal RNA", at positions 524 to 773 of the family's 1533-position model. The record is from RNAcentral.
UACAGAGGGUGCGAGCGUUAAUCGGAAUUACUGGGCGUAAAGCGUGCGCAGGCGGUUCUGCAAGACAGGUGUGAAAUCCCGGGGCUUAACCUGGGAAUGGCGCUUGUGACUGCGGGGCUGGAGUGCGGCAGAGGGGGGUGGAAUUCCACGUGUAGCAGUGAAAUGCGUAGAGAUGUGGAGGAACACCGAUGGCGAAGGCAGCCCCCUGGGAUGACACUGACGCUCAUGUACGAAAGCGUGGGUAGCAAAC